Mauremys reevesii (Reeves's turtle) is the source of this 1738-nucleotide non-coding RNA. NCBI's taxonomy places the organism in Eukaryota, Metazoa, Chordata, Testudines, Geoemydidae. The record is from the annotation of a RefSeq genome assembly.
GGCAUUGGGCACUGUCGGGAGACAGGAUACUGGGCUAGAUGGACUGUGCCCUCUUAUGUUCUCUUGUAAGGGCUGGAGGUUUCAAAGUAGUAUAAGGGCAUUUUAGAUACCCAGCUGUGAUUGAAUUUUAAUGUAGUUUGGGCAUCUGUCCAUUAGGCACUUUUAAAAGUUCCUGUGUCAAGUCAAGUCUCCAAAGGCCAUGCCUUGUGCUUUAACCACAAGCAACAGGGUGGGGAGAGAAAGAGGUGCGGAAAGACACAUGGGAGAAGGGAAAUUUCUGAAAUGCAAAAUUAUUUGCCUGCCUCGUGGGAUAUAAGAACAUGGGGUGAUACCUGCCUUGUUAGUCAGGGGGACUCUUUGACACCAACCCCUUGUGCUAAAGCAAAGGUCAGCAGCGGUCAUGCUGUGGCUACGUUGUCUUUGCGUUAUGGCCUGGUGCAUCUUGUCAGGCUCCGUGGCAGCUGUCACUUUAACUCAGCCAGGUUCUGCCCGUGCAGAGCCAGGGAGUUCCAUUACCCUGGAUUGUGUCGUCUCUGGGUAUAACAUCGAUGACCAUCAUCUCCACUGGGUCCGUCAGGCCCCUGGGAAAGGUCUGGUCUGGGUCACAGCCUUCAGAACAGGUUUCACCACCAUCACCGCUAACGAAUUCAAAGGCCGGGUCACCCCCUCCACCAGCGGCUCCACUGCCAGGCUAAAGAUAGACGGACUGACAGCUGCAGACACGGCUACCUACUACUGUGCACGAGAAACACAGUGCUCGCUUCCCAGCUUCCUCUCCUACAGUAACCUCUGGGGCAAGGGGUUCGUCUCAUUGAGCACAUCUCUCUGCAUGAAAUUCAGCCCUCUGCCACUGCCUGCACAUUGCAAGAGUCCCAAGGCAGCCCUCAAAAUGAGACCCUGGGGUUAAACAGGCCAUGCACAGGGUCAACUUCACCCUCAACAAUUAAUCUUGUGGCCUUACCAUAACAGACUGCCCGAGGCGGCACCGUGAUCUAUUGGCUAGCGCCCUGUGCUAGGAGUCCGGCUCGCUGAGUUCUGACCCAUUGCUCUGGGGUGUGGCCUGAGGUAAUUCACGACUACCUACCUGCCCCUUUCCUUUCCCACCCUCGGGGUCUCUUGUCGGUUUUAUAUGAUAAGCUCUUCAGAGCCAGGCCUGUUGCUUGCUGCGCUUAUGGGCCAUGCCAGUUUUGCCACAAGGAACAAUAGUAAUUAGUAGAUUCGUGUAUUUUAAGGCCAGAGAGGACCAUUAGAAUCAUCUACUCUAAUCGCCUGCGUAACACAGGCCAGAGAACGCAGCACAGCUAUUCCUGCACCAGCACCAGAGCUUGCGGCUGAGCGACUGCGCCGAUGUUAGAGAGCGUGGAAGAGGGAUUAAUGGAUUUUAAGGCCAGCAGGGACCAUGUAGUCUGACCUUCCAUAGAGCACAGGCCAAAGAACUUCACCCGUCUGGCUGUCCUGUUGAAUUAUUUGUUGGCACAGAUAGCUAUUUCUACAUCAUUCCUCUAUCGUUAUUAAUGUGCACGCGGUGGCAGAGAAGUUCUCCAGGAUGGAUCUCUGGGAUUUCAGGGGCUGUCAUCGCUGCAAGCCACAUGGCCUUUCCAUUUCAUUCCACGUCACAGCUGAAAUUCUGAACUUCCCCCAUUGACUGCCAUCUUCGUAACCAGCACUGUCCAGAGGAGAAAAGAUAUUCACAAAUAUUAUUCUGUUUUUGUACUGUAACAUUUUGGAAGGAUGAAUA